RNAcentral lists this transfer RNA (63 nucleotides) under Trichonephila clavata. It matches the Rfam family "tRNA". From Rfam's summary of the family: Transfer RNA (tRNA) molecules are approximately 80 nucleotides in length. Their secondary structure includes four short double-helical elements and three loops (D, anti-codon, and T loops). Further hydrogen bonds mediate the characteristic L-shaped molecular structure. tRNAs have two regions of fundamental functional importance: the anti-codon, which is responsible for specific mRNA codon recognition, and the 3' end, to which the tRNAs corresponding amino acid is attached (by aminoacyl-tRNA synthetases). tRNAs cope with the degeneracy of the genetic code in two manners: having more than one tRNA (with a specific anti-codon) for a particular amino acid; and 'wobble' base-pairing, i.e. permitting non-standard base-pairing at the 3rd anti-codon position. Lineage: Eukaryota; Metazoa; Arthropoda; Arachnida; Araneae; Nephilidae. The record is from Rfam by way of RNAcentral.
GUCCCUGUAGCGCAAUGGAUAGAGCUAAUCCAAAGGUCGUGGGUUCGAAUCCCACCUGGGAUG